Long non-coding RNA from Helianthus annuus (common sunflower), 941 nucleotides. RefSeq lists it as uncharacterized. The record is from RefSeq and is a predicted model, not a curated record. The transcript has 2 exons. Lineage: Eukaryota; Viridiplantae; Streptophyta; Magnoliopsida; Asterales; Asteraceae.
UUUUUUAGCAUCUCUAUUUAUAUAUAUAUUUCAGCUGAAGCAAUACUCUCUCUCUCUCUCUCUCUCAUCACCAGACUCCAACCUUCAUCGCUUCAAAUUUCAGGAACCAAAGCUUCCCUUCACUAAUCUCAUUUCAAUUGCAAUUACAGUUUCAAAAUUCAAUUCAUCGACAUAAAACCUUACCUACGUGAUCAAGUGACCAUGGAACAGUAUUCCCAAGAAAUUAUGGACGUAAACAACAUUGUCAAGGAAAAGAAAACAUCUUCGAAUGUCGUUGAGUAUGAAAAUGGCGGUUUUGAUUGUAAUAUAUGUCUAGACUCGGUCCAAGAGCCGAUGGUGACACUUUGUGGCCAUCUCUAUUGCUACCCUUGUAUAUACAAAUGGAUUCAUCAGCAAAACACUUCAUUAGAUAUUCCAAACAAGAAUAAUCCGCAAUGUCCUGUUUGUAAACGUGAUAUCUCACAAAAGACCUUAAUCCCAUUAUAUGGUCGAGGCCAAACUGCAAAAUCUCAAAUAGAAAAAAAGUGUCUAGAUCAUCUAGGUAUGAUCCAACGUAGGCCCCAUAGCCCUAGUUGUGGGACCAGGGUCGUACCAACUCAACAAACACAAGGAUUUAUAACGGUAUCAGAUGUGAUCAACCCAACAAGUCCAACAAUGGGAAUGUUAGGGGAAAUGCUAUACGGGAGUCUUUUGGGGAAUAUACAAGCGUCUUUAUAUGCGUAUCCUAACUCGUAUAACUUAGUGCCGGUUAGUACUCGACGUGCACGAAGACAUACGAUGCAAGCUGAUAGGUCUCUUGGUCGCAUUUGCUUUUUCUUAUUUUGUUGCAUGAUGAUGUGUCUAAUAUUAUUUUGACACCUAUAAAGCCCCUCCUACUUCAUUCCGUAUGUAUAUUUUGUAAAAUAAAUAAUUAAAUAAUGGAUUACUGAAUAUUAGUUUUU